ACAACCUUAAGUUAGGUGAGAUUACCCACUAAGUUUAAGCAUAUCAAUAAUUGAAGGAAAAAAAACUUACCAAGAUUCUCCUUGUAAUUGUGAGCGAACCAGAAAGGGCCCAAUUUGAAAAAUAGGUAGCCCCAGAGUCUGAAUUGUAAUCUAAAGAAGUGUCUUCAGUAAUGAAUCAAGCCCAAAUCCUUCAGAAAAAGGGCAUUGAAGAGGGUGAGAGUGUCUUUAUGCUUAGACCUUGUCACAUCAUAAGGUACUAUCUAUGAGUUAGGUUUUUUAGGAAUAUAGCCCUAAUUGAGUGGUAAAUUCCAUCCAGGGCUAAAUAUGGGCAAGAGACUGAUAGCAAACAAGUGUCACAAGGGAAAGAUGAAAAGAACUUUGAAAAGAGAGUUAAAAAGUACUUGAAAUUGUUACAAGAGAAGUGGAUGGGGGUAGGCAAUGUGCCUCAAUAGAAUGUGGAAUUACGAGAGUCGAUUCAUUGAUUGGCUUAGGACAUGGAUCUACUCAAGUUAUGGCAAUGGCCCAAGCUCGGGCUUUCUUUACACCUGUAGAGACAUCAUUGCCAUGAUCAUGAAAAGUAGCAUGUGCUACCUCGGGGUGCCUUGACACCUGUGAGCCACCAACACUACUCGUGUGCUCCUCAUCUGGCUUAUCUUGAGACUUAGAUUAAGGAGUCUAACAUGUGUGCAAGUCAAUAGGCUAGAAAACCCAUAAGGCAUAAAGAAAUUGAUUAGCAGCAUCCCUCACGGGUGCACCCCUGACUGACCUUGAUCUUUUAAUAAAGGUUUGAGGGUGAGCAUACUUGUUAGGACCCAAAAAAUGGUGAAUUAUACCUGAGAGGGUGAAGCUAAAGGAAACUUUGGUGGAUGCCUACAACAAUACUAACAUGCAAAUCAUUGGUCUAACUUAGGUAUAGAGGUGAAAGACUAAUAGAAUCAUCUAGUAGCUGGUUCCUCCAAAAGUUUCCUCAAGAUAACUAGAGCCUUUAGCGAGUUCUAUCAGGUAAAGCUAAAAAUUAAAGGCAUUGGAGGUGUAACACUCUCCACCUAUUCUCAAACUUUAAAUAGGUAGGAUGGUGUGACUACUUCAUUGAGUCACUUCAUAGAAUCAAGAGCUCUAAAUGGGCCAUUUUUGGUAAGUAUAAUUGGCAAUGUAGGGUUAACCAAAAUUCAGGUUAUGGUGCCCAACUACACACUAACUUAUAACCUAAAAGGGUGUUGGUCGAUUAAGAUAGUAGGAUGGUGGUCAUGGAAGUUGAAAUUUGCUAAGACGUGUGUAACAACUCACCUAUCGAAUCAACUAGCCUAAAAAAUUGAUAGUGCUUAAGUGCAUGACCUAUACCCAAUCGUCAGGGUAAGGACUAGGCCCUAAUGAGUAGAAAGGUGUGACAAUCACCAUAAAACUUAGGGUGCAAACCUAGGUAGAGCAAUUGUUGGUACAGAUCUUAGUGGUUGUAGCAAAUAUUUAAAUGAGAACUUUAAAGGUUGAAGAAGGGAAAGGUUUCAUAUGAACAGCCCUUGCACAUUGAUUAGUUAAUCCUACGAGAUAGGGGGCCCAUCUGACAGUAUAUCUAGCAAGAGCUUUGAAAGGGAAUCAGGAUAAUAUUCCUGAACCAAGACACGAUGGCUAACGAUAACGUUAAAAUGUCUGGAGAUGUUGAUGAAGACCUUGGGAAGAGUUACUUUUUUUGUUUAAUGGCUUGCCCACCCUAGAAAUGGCUCACUUUGAGGUAAGGUCCAAUGAUCGAAAGAGCAUCGCAUGUUGUAUGAUGUCUGAUGUACCCUCGAUGCCCCCAAUCAUACUCAUAACUACAUCAAGUCUCCAAGUUGAAUAACCUCUAGUUGAUGGAAUAAUGUAGGCAAGGGAAGUCAACAAAAUGGAUCUAUAACCUAAAAAAAAAGAUUGGCUCUGAAGGUUGGGCAUAAAGUUUUUAGUCCUAGACCUAUCGACUGCCAGUGCAUUUCUCAAGCUACUCCCAUGGUGAAAACAGGUUAUCGCGUGCUGGUUAAGGGACAGACUAAAAAUAACUCCAUCAGGGCCUUCUUCAGGUGACAAAUAAUCAACUCAAAACUAGUAUAGACAAAGGGAACUAACUAUUUAAUUAAAACAAAGCAUUGCAAUGGUCCAUGCGAAUGCUCACACGAUGUGAUUUUUGCUCAAUGCUCUAAAUGUUAAAGUGAAGAAAUUCGACCAAGAACAAGUAAAUAGUGGGAGUAACUAUGACUCUCUUAAGGUAGCUAAAUGCCUCAUCAUCUAAUUAGUGUGUGCUUGAAUGGACUAACAAGAUUCUUACUUGUCUUGUCUGCCAUCUAGUGAAACCACAACCAAGGGAAUUGGCUUGGUAGAAUCAGUGGGGAAAAAAGACCUUGUUAAGCUUAACUCUAUUUUGACUUUGUGAAAUGACUUGAGAGAUGUAGGAUAAGUGGGAGCCCACUGGUGAAAUUGUAAUACAAUUACUUUUGAUGUUAUUUUACUUAUUCCAUGAAUCAAAGACGAGGUGUGACCCUUUCUUUAGGCGUAAUGCUAGCCUUAGUCAGUUGAUCCAGGUGAAAGACAUUAUUAGGUAGGGGGUUUGGUCGACACAUCUGUUAAAAGAUAACGCAGGUGUCUUAAGAUGAGCUCAAAGAGAAUAAAAAUCUCAUGUGGAACAAAAGGGUAAAAGCUUAUUUGAUUCUGAUUUCUAGUACAAGUAUGAACCAUGAAAGCAUGGCCCAUAGAUCUUUUAGACCUUCAAAAUUUGAACCUAAAGGUGUCAGAAAAGUUACCAUAGGGAUAACUGGCUUGUGGCAAGCAAACAUUUAUAGCAACGUUACUUUUUGAUCCUUUAAUAUCAACUCUUCCUAUCAUUAUGAAGCAAAAUUCACCAAAUGUUGGAUUGUUCACCCACUAAUAAGGAACGUGAGCUGGGUUUAGACCAUCAUGAGAUAGGUUAGUUUUACCCUACUGAUGGUAGCGUAGCAAUAGUAAUUCAAUUUAGUACGAGAGGUACAAUUGAUUUGCACAAUUGGUUGAAAAGCUAGUGACAUGAAACUACCAUGCACUGGAUUAUGACUAAAUGCCUUUAAAUCAAAAUCAAGCUAGAAA
RNAcentral lists this ribosomal RNA (3084 nucleotides) under Durio zibethinus. RNAcentral's name for it is "eukaryotic LSU rRNA". It matches the Rfam family "Eukaryotic large subunit ribosomal RNA". The record is from RNAcentral. Lineage: Eukaryota; Viridiplantae; Streptophyta; Magnoliopsida; Malvales; Malvaceae.